This 439-nucleotide ribosomal RNA is filed under the name uncultured bacterium. RNAcentral describes it as "partial 16S ribosomal RNA". It matches the Rfam family "Bacterial small subunit ribosomal RNA", at positions 339 to 795 of the family's 1533-position model. The record is from RNAcentral.
CUACGGGGCGCUGCAGUGGGGAAUAUUGCACAAUGGGGGAAACCCUGAUGCAGCAACGCCGCGUGAAGGAAGAAGGUUUUCGGAUCGUAAACUUCUAUCAGCAAGGAAGAUAAUGACGGUACUUGACUAAGAAGCCCCGGCUAACUACGUGCCAGCAGCCGCGGUAAUACGUAGGGGGCAAGCGUUAUCCGGAAUUACUGGGUGUAAAGGGUGCGUAGACGGUAAUGACAGUCAGGUGUGAAAGCCCGAAGCUCAACUUCGGGACUGCACUUGAAACUACAUAACUAGAAUACAGGAGAGGAAAGUGGAAUUCCUAGUGUAGCGGUGGAAUGCGUAGAUAUUAGGAGGAACACCAGUGGCGAAGGCGACUUUCUGGACUGUAACUGACGUUGAGGCACGAAAGCGUGGGGAGCAAACAGGAUUAGAUACCCCUGUAGUC